RNAcentral lists this ribosomal RNA (514 nucleotides) under uncultured microorganism. RNAcentral describes it as "bacterial SSU rRNA". It matches the Rfam family "Bacterial small subunit ribosomal RNA", at positions 9 to 520 of the family's 1533-position model. The record is from RNAcentral.
GAGUUUGAUCUUGGCUCAGAUUGAACGCUGGCGGCAGGCCUAACACAUGCAAGUCGAGCGGAUGAAGGGAGCUUGCUCCUGGAUUCAGCGGCGGACGGGUGAGUAAUGCCUAGGAAUCUGCCUGUAGUGGGGAUAACGUCCGGAAACGGGCGCUAAUACCGCAUACGUCCUGAGGGAGAAAGUGGGGGAUCUUCGGACCUCACGCUAUCAGAUGAGCCUAGGUCGGAUUAGCUAGUUGGUGGGGUAAAGGCCUACCAAGGCGACGAUCCGUAACUGGUCUGAGAGGAUGAUCAGUCACACUGGAACUGAGACACGGUCCAGACUCCUACGGGAGGCAGCAGUGGGGAAUAUUGGACAAUGGGCGAAAGCCUGAUCCAGCCAUGCCGCGUGUGUGAAGAAGGUCUUCGGAUUGUAAAGCACUUUAAGUUGGGAGGAAGGGCAGUAAGUUAAUACCUUGCUGUUUUGACGUUACCAACAGAAUAAGCACCGGCUAACUUCGUGCCAGCAGCCGCGU